UGAAUUAAUCAUACAAAAAAACAAGUCCUAUAGGCAUAUUCUCUAAAUACUGAGCUAAUCAAUCAGAAAACACAUCCUAUAGGCAGGCUAUCCACCCUUCUAAUAGUUAAGCAUGCACAAUUACCCAGCUUUUUUUUCACUAACCGACCCUAAAUGUUUAUUACAAAUUAUUACAAACCAAUUGCUAAAUUACAUGAGAAAUAACGUAAAAGAAAAAAGUUACAACAAGAGAAAGCAUGAUUCUUGACUUCAUAUCUGAGUUAGGGUAUAAACCGCUUCAAAUUCCAUUUGUUUCAAAGUCUUUCCCAGACCUGGGUGUGUCAAAGUUCCCUAAGGGUCUCAAGGGGAUCCCGGGCAAUGCUUAUUCCAGGUUUGCAUAACCAGAUAGAGAUGAUUGCAUUGUGGAAGGGCUAGCCCUUUUGUGUCCAAGAUUAGGGGGAGCUCAUAGGUCCCAAGGCCAGGCUCAAACAAGAGGGGUAGAACCUAAGUCUAAUAAUAUAGUGGAAGUGCAGGAACAGAGGUUUAAAACUGAGUGGAGAAUAGAGAGGGGUAAGGGUGAUUGGAAAAUAGUAGUUGUAAAGCUAACAUUACACAGAAUAUGACCUUAGGAAGGGGUCAGGUUUUGGCAUGCACACCAAUAGAUAUUUUUGGCAUACCCAUGAAUUAGCUAGAGAAUACAACACAUAGAAGGGAUAUGAAGGUUAUGACCCUAUGGAGGUUAGGUAUGGGUUACGCACAACAAUAUCUAAUGCUGACAUGAACCCAAACCAUCCGAGGAAUACAAACACAUAGGGAUAUGGGGGUUUGGUAUUCAUAAGCCAUAAUAAGAGACUGACAUGGUUCAGACAUAAGAAAACAUUAAUUCAGAAGAGAAAGGGGCAGAUUACAACAUGUUUAGUAAUAGAACUUGAUUAAACACAAGCAGAAACCAGGCAAGAGUGAAGGAAUAGUAAUGAAACAUGUUGUUGAUGCUGGAAAAUUAAUUAGAAUAUACCAGUAAAGAAGCAAAUGCAGAAAUAAAAGUAAGCAAAUUUCCCACAACCUAGCCUUGGCUUUCAGCCGGCUAGACAAUGUAGCAACACAAAUAGUAACAGAGAAAAAAAGAGAGUUUUGAGUGAAGUGUGUGUUCUGAACUCAAGUGUUUUAUUCCUUGUGUUCGUGUGUUUGAAAGAAGAUGGGUGCAGGGUAUUUAUAGCUUUUUGAAAAUGAGUGAAGGAAGGUAAUAAGUAAAGUUUUAGUACAAAUAUAGAAACAAUCUCCAAUUAGAAUUAAUUACCCAAGUGUCUCCCUUUAAUUAAGGAAUAACUGUUUGACGGGUAGUAACAUAUCCAAAUAAGGAAAGGAAUCUGUUUAAGAUAGACUGGUUAUUGCCAUAAAAAGAGUAUUAAAAAUAUUAAGUAAGCAAUCGAGUCUAAGUACAGAAAUAUGCUUAUUUUGGAAAUAGAUUAAGCGAAGUAAAUAUUACAGUAAUGGGAAAAGAAUCAAUCAAUUUUGAACGGGUGACUGAAAUCAGGGUUCCUAAAAGGGAUACUUUAGAAAUCAAUCGCAAGACCAAGAUCAAUCAAAGAAGAGGCUUCAACAUAUAAAUAAAGUGAACAGGGUCAUCAGACAUGCGAGGCCACACAUAUUUGACAAAGAGUCACAAACAUGCACAGAAAUUAGCCAGGGUUCAAUACUAAAGCAAACAUUCGACACAUAUUAAUCAAGUAGGUCGAGUUACGUUGAAUCAACAGGGAAGAAAAUAGAGCCUCAGAAACAUACAAAGGUUUUACAGUAGCAGGUGAGGAAACCCCUUCCUAAAAAUUUAGGGUUUCAACCCUUGUCAAGUUUGAGAGAUAGUAAAAUCAAAUAAGUCACAUAAAAUCUAAAACAAAAGCUUUUAGUGGAGUCAUGUACUCAAACAAAAAAAUUUACACCAAGAAGACCUAGGGUCUUCAACAAUAAUCGAUUCUAAAAAAUGAUAAACAAAUGAAUCAAACAAGUGCUAGCAAACAGUUUCAGAACUCGAAUGAGACCACAAAAGAACUAGGGUUUUAGUAUUCUGAAACAAAUAGGAGAACGACAUGAGCAAAACUUAGAUAAAUUACAAACAAGUUAAAAUCAGAGAUCUUUGAAAGAAAAUUACAGGAAAACCUUAAUCGGAGAAGAUGAAGGGUCAUUUGAAAGAAACUCGAAAAACUUCGAGAAAACACUUAAAACAUUCAUAGCAAGUACAGAUCUAAAGAAGAUCUGGAAGAAAAAAAUCAAAAGAUCUUAAAUGUUAGGGUUUCGAAAAACCCCGAAAAGGUGAGAAAGGCCUUGAAAGGUUACCGAUCCAGCCGAAAAAGUCAUAGAUCCUACUCGAAUGACCAUGGAUGGCCGGAAAUGGCAUCGGAGGUCAUGAGAGGUGAGUGAAACGUCUAUAGUUUACUUGAGGGCCUCAAAAAUAUGACACAUGAUCAAGAGGGAACCAUAAGGCUGCUAGGUGGUGAGACCACCAUUGAUUCAGGCAAGGAGAUGGCCAGAGAAAGUGGGUGAAGUUCAUCUGAGAGAAGUAGAAGGGGGAAGGUUCUAGAGAGAACCAGGGAUAGAGAUAGAGAGAGAUGAGAGUCAGUCGAGUGAAG
RNAcentral lists this long non-coding RNA (2603 nucleotides) under Nicotiana benthamiana. Its description in RNAcentral is "long non-coding RNA (NBEN_LNC003975)". Lineage: Eukaryota; Viridiplantae; Streptophyta; Magnoliopsida; Solanales; Solanaceae. The record is from RNAcentral.